UAUUGAUUUUGCACCUUCUAACAUCUCGAGACGAUAAUUUGCUCGUCACGUUCCUUCGCUGCUCUUUCCUGGAUUCUUGUUUGGCCAAUGACAAA
This is a non-coding RNA of Phoenix dactylifera (date palm), 95 nucleotides long. The record is from RefSeq and is a predicted model, not a curated record. NCBI's taxonomy places the organism in Eukaryota, Viridiplantae, Streptophyta, Magnoliopsida, Arecales, Arecaceae.